GCCAAAGUGGCGGAACUGGUAGACGCGCACGACUCAAAAUCGUGUUCCUUCGGGAGUGUGGGUUCGAUUCCCACCUUUGGUAC
This 83-nucleotide transfer RNA is filed under the name Rhodothermaeota bacterium MED-G12. Its description in RNAcentral is "tRNA-Leu(caa)". It matches the Rfam family "tRNA". Rfam says of the family: Transfer RNA (tRNA) molecules are approximately 80 nucleotides in length. Their secondary structure includes four short double-helical elements and three loops (D, anti-codon, and T loops). Lineage: Bacteria; Pseudomonadati; Rhodothermota. The record is from RNAcentral.